RNAcentral lists this ribosomal RNA (19 nucleotides) under Colletotrichum truncatum. RNAcentral describes it as "partial 18S ribosomal RNA". Lineage: Eukaryota; Fungi; Ascomycota; Sordariomycetes; Glomerellales; Glomerellaceae. The record is from RNAcentral.
GCGGAGGGAUCAUGGACGG